This 527-nucleotide non-coding RNA is filed under the name Pan troglodytes (chimpanzee). The record is from RNAcentral. Lineage: Eukaryota; Metazoa; Chordata; Mammalia; Primates; Hominidae.
GUGCGGAUGUGCAAUCUUCACCUGUUUAUUCGGUAGAGGGUGCCAUCUUCAGGUAGCCCUUCACGUUGUACAGAAAACAAUGGAGACUUCUCCUCCUGGGGCAGACAGAGUCUGGCUGGAGUGCAAUAACGCGAUCUCAGCUCACUGCAACCUCUGCCUCCUGGGUUCAAGUGAUUCUCCUGCCUCAGCCUCCCGAGUAGCUGGGACUACAGGUCUAUGUCCUUUCAUAUUCUCCAGUUUAAUCUCGCCUACAACUUUACUCCAGGCUCUAUGCUCCAGCCAUAAUCAAUUUAUGGGAAAACCAUCCUCUCUGGCAAACUUCUACUUAUCCUUCAAGAAGCAAUUCAACUAUCAUUCCUCUGUGAAGCCUAGGCAGUUAAUUACCCUUCCUUUAUAUGCCUAAAUCACUCCUGGGGUAGUGCUGAUUGCACUGUGAACUUGUGAGGCAGGAUACACUGUCUUAUUUACGUUUGUUGUGUUUCCUAACAGAGAACAGAUACUCAAUAUAUGAAUGAAUAAUCUUGUUU